This is a long non-coding RNA of Eriocheir sinensis (Chinese mitten crab), 2695 nucleotides long. RefSeq lists it as uncharacterized. The transcript is spliced from 3 exons. NCBI's taxonomy places the organism in Eukaryota, Metazoa, Arthropoda, Malacostraca, Decapoda, Varunidae. The record is from RefSeq and is a predicted model, not a curated record.
UCCAUAUAAAAUUAUAUUAUCAAAUAUUUUUUGUAUGGUUUACAAGUAUAGAAUUAUAUGUAUUUCAUUUUCUUUUUGUUCAUGGUGGCCUGUGCAACCAUUAUGCAGAUGGAUGUAUCCUCCAGAUUUUGUCAACUAUAUGUAGGUGUGUAGAUUUGGCACCCAAAGUAUAGUGUAACAGUUUAAAAUCUCUCUCUCUCUCUCGACUCGAGAUUGGAAAGUGCUCUCUUCUUUAGUCUUAUCAGUGGAGGACUAAGGCUGGGGUGGCGUAACACCUUUCUGGUACACAUUAAGCAACCAGCUGAGUAUUAAGUACUGCCCGCCACAUAACGAUGGUAACAAUUUUUUGAGCAUUCAUUUAUAAUCAGAUGGCCUAUAAUUAAUUAUCUCUCUCUCUCUCUGACGUCCUCCCUCCCUUGCAGCAUGUCCGACAAACAGCCCGCCGCCCCACUCAAGGCCGAGGCUCCUGCCUGCCCCGAGACCAACACGGCCCUGCAGCACUGUGUUUUUAGCUAACCUGGAUUCUGUGAUUGCGACUGUCAGCAAGAUAAAUGUUGCCAUCAGGGUCACAAGUGAUUCCCGAGGGAUCUACCAUACACCCGGGAGAUGUUCCUGUGCUGCCAAAUGUAUUCAGCAAACAUCCGGUGGUGUAGUUCACUUCAUACACACAGUUCAACCCUGGAAGUCCAAUUACUGAUAAAACUAUUCCUUUACUGAUGCAUUAUUCGUAAACCUGGAAGGUGCCUAAUCAACUCCCCUUUUUAUGAGAGGUAAGAUAUGAAAGUGACCUGUAAUCUGUUCAAAUAUGUGUUUCUUUGGCACUUUGGCAGCAUUUGUUAGGACUUUCCUGAUUAGCUGGAUCCCUCUCUUGCUGUCAUGAAUGUAGCUGUCAGUUACUCAUGCUCCUGUGAUACUUGUUUCUAUACAUAUUUAUGUAAUCUCACCUCAUGCAAGAUUGACAAUUUUGGUUUUCAUUAAUAGUCUCAGCGGUGAUUGUAAAACAGCAACUGUCAUUGCCAUUACCAUUUGCCAGAGCUAUUGAAUCAGGUAAAAUAAACCAUUUUACCUUAGAAAGAAAAUUCCCAAGCAUAAAAUGGUGUAACCAAAUUAUGGAUAAAUUGCAAUAUAAGUAAAAAUUGAUUAUCUUUAAGAGCAUUGUUCCCUUUAACAUUCUUGGCCUUUUCUGGACUUAAAAUCUCUCACCUCAUGCUAAAUCUGAUUCCUCAAGGUUAGGCAUUAUGCAUUGUCUUUUCCUUCACAUAUUCUACCAAAAUGCCCUUGUAUGAAGGAUGCAUCUCAUGUGUGUGUGUGGAGGGACCAUUGGUGUCUCGAUAAUACAAGGCCUGACAGCUUGCUGGAUUCUUUGCCGAUGAGUCAUCCAAGUAAGGUGGAGUGUGUCCCGCGCUGUCCAACUAAAAUGUUAUUUUUUGUGUGUUUUAAUGCAUAUUUUUGUGUUAAAUAUAUUUUUUCUGUGAUAAAUAAAGGUUUUCAAACAUCAAUAUCUUCUAAACAUCAUCAAAUUCCUCCACCCCUAUAUUAUUAUAGACAACUCAAGUCACCUGCUAUCUGGCAACUACAAGUUACAUGGAGGUACUAUAGAGCAGUGCUGUCCAAACUUGUUCGCCUGUUGUACCCUUUAUUACCUUCUUCUACUGUUACGUACUCCCCAUGGCUGAUUAAACUCAAUAAUAUUAUAUUAUAUUAUAUUUAGGUACACGUACAUUAUGCGUCCUUCCUAGGUACCCGUCAGGGGCCGUCCAUCCCUCCCUUUCUCUUUUCAUUCACAGAACAUGGGAAGUUUCUGCUGUGUAUGUGUGUGUAUAUGUGCAUGUGUCUGUUCUUCGUCUUUUCACGUCCUUUGAUCUAUGCUGCAUAUAUCCCCAGGGGUAUGUGGAACCCAGUUUGGACAACACUGCAGAGUGGUGAAUCUCAGUCUCACAUUUUGAAGACAUAUAUAAUAAACGUAAACUAUUUCAUUGCUAUUAUACGAUUAUAUCUUCUUAAAAAAUAUAACAACAAAAUGUACCAUGUUAACACUGAGUUCCAUGUGGCCAUUAUAUGAGUAAAUAAUUUGUCCCAGGGACGAGAUGGUAGAAAGAGGACUGUAGCAGCCCCCUCACUUGUAGUUGCCAGAUAGCAGGGGACUGAGUUGCCUAGUAUCAGGAUGGAGGAUCGGCUUGUUGAAUAUAGUAGUAAUUGUAACCAGGGGUGUGGAGUCGGAUUUUCAAAACUCCGACUCCGACUCCAGUAAAUUUAAAUGUUGCGACUCCGACUCCGACUCUGACUCCAGUAAAUUUAAAUGUUGCGACUCCGACUCCGACUCUGACUCCAGUAAAUUUGAAGGUUGCGACUCCGACUCCGACUCCGACUCCAGGAAAUUUGAAGGUUGCGACUCCGACUCCGACUCCGACUCCAGUAAAUUUGAAGGUUGCGACUCCGACUCCGACUCCGACUCCAGUAAAUUUGAAGGUUGCGACUCCGACUCCGACUCCGACUCCAGGAAAUUUGAAGGUUGCGACUCCGACUCCGACUCCGACUCCAGUAAAUUUAAAUGUUGCGACUCCGACUCCGACUCCGACUCCAGUAAAUUUAAAUGUUGCGACUCCGACUCCGACUCCGACUCCAGUAAAUUUUAAGGUUGCGACUCCGACUCCGACUCCGACUCCAGUAAAUUUAAAUGUUGCGACUCCGACUC